UCUAUGUUCUCAUUUUUUUUUUUUUUUAACUUUUAAAUUUUUAACUUUUUUCAAACACUGUUUUUGUAUUGUAUCAUUCUUCACAUUUCUCCCAUUAUUUUCUGUAUAUGAGUGUGCAUGUGUGAGUUGUGUAUGCUCCCACCGUGCAGAUAGGUUUGAAAAAUCAAUCUAUCAACCUACCUACCUACCUACCUAUCUACCUACCUAUCUAUCUACCUAUCUACUUAUCUACUUACCUUCUAUCUAUCCACCUACCUAUCUACCUGUCUAUCUACCUACCUAUCUACUUAUCUUCUUACCUAUCUAUCUACCUACCUACCUAGCUAUCUACCCACCUAUCUACUUAUCUUCUUACCUAUCUAUCUACCUACCUACCUAUCUACCUACCCUCUACCUACCUACCUACCUACCUAUUUAUCUAUCUACCUAACUACCUACCUAUCUACCUCCCUAUCUACCUAUCUACCUACCUAUCUCUUAUCUACCUAUCUACUUAUCUACUUACCUAUCUACCUACCUACCUACCUAUCUACCUACCUUCCUAUUUAUCUAUCUACCUACCUAUCUAUCUACCUACCUACCUACCUACCUACCUAUUUAUCUUCAUCUGACUUACACAUCAGUGGCUCCCUCCUGCAUGCCUUCAUUAUUUAGCCUAGCUUAGACUUCCGUGGGUACAAUUAUGCGAGGGUUUGAGUAGUUUUGAUUUUGUUUGCUGAUUCAUUCUUAUCUAGGUUCGGCCCUUCCUAGCUCCCAUUCUUCACUCUCUGCUACCAAUAACAGCCAAAAUCUCUUAUUUCCUCCUCCUCUCUUGUUUUCAUUACUUUAGAAAACUCAUUCAUUCUUCUUUAUAACUGACACGUGUUCUCUAUCUCCUGUCUCUCAUCACCUUUUCAAACACUUCAGUGUUUUCUUGCCUUCCUACCCUAUUUCCUCUUACU
This 941-nucleotide long non-coding RNA is filed under the name Marmota monax (woodchuck). The record is from RNAcentral. Lineage: Eukaryota; Metazoa; Chordata; Mammalia; Rodentia; Sciuridae.